ACUACGGGUGGCAGCAGUGGGGGAUAUUGCACAAUGGGGGGAACCCUGAUGCAGUGACGCCGCGUGGGUGAAGAAGCGCCUCGGCGCGUAAAGCCCUGUCAGCAGGGAAGAAAAUGACGGUACCUGAAGAAGAAGCCCCGGCUAACUACGUGCCAGCAGCCGCGGUAAGACGUAGGGGGCAAGCGUUAUCCGGAUUUACUGGGUGUAAAGGGGGCGCAGACGGCGAUGCAAGCCAGGAGUGAAAGCCCGGGGCCCAACCCCGGGACUGCUCUUGAAACUGCGUGGCUGGAGUGCAGGAGGGGCAGGCGGAAUUCCUGGUGUAGCGGUGAAAUGCGUAGAUAUCAGGAGGAACACCGGUGGCGAAGGCGGCCUGCUGGACUGCAACUGACGUUGAGGCCCGAAAGCGUGGGGAGCAAACAGGAUUAGAUACCCUAGUAGUC
This 440-nucleotide ribosomal RNA is filed under the name uncultured bacterium. RNAcentral describes it as "partial 16S ribosomal RNA". It matches the Rfam family "Bacterial small subunit ribosomal RNA", at positions 338 to 795 of the family's 1533-position model. The record is from RNAcentral.